This 408-nucleotide ribosomal RNA is filed under the name bacterium enrichment culture clone ALO1_GLFRUDD03FK94N. Its description in RNAcentral is "bacterial SSU rRNA". It matches the Rfam family "Bacterial small subunit ribosomal RNA", at positions 9 to 416 of the family's 1533-position model. RNAcentral also lists the same sequence under 1 other name. The record is from RNAcentral.
GAGUUUGAUCUUGGCUCAGAUUGAACGCUGGCGGCAUGCCUUACACAUGCAAGUCGAACGGCAGCACGGGAGCUUGCUCCUGGUGGCGAGUGGCGAACGGGUGAGUAAUGCAUCGGAACGUAUCCUGGAGUGGGGGAUAACGUAGCGAAAGUUACGCUAAUACCGCAUAUUCUGUGAGCAGGAAAGCGGGGGACCUUCGGGCCUCGCGCUCUUGGAGCGGCCGAUGUCGGAUUAGCUAGUUGGUGAGGUAAAGGCUCACCAAGGCGACGAUCCGUAGCAGGUCUGAGAGGAUGAUCUGCCACACUGGAACUGAGACACGGUCCAGACUCCUACGGGAGGCAGCAGUGGGGAAUUUUGGACAAUGGGGGCAACCCUGAUCCCAGCCAUGCCGCGUGAGUGAAGAAGGCC